RNAcentral lists this ribosomal RNA (207 nucleotides) under uncultured Anoxybacillus sp. Its description in RNAcentral is "partial 16S ribosomal RNA". It matches the Rfam family "Bacterial small subunit ribosomal RNA", at positions 1179 to 1382 of the family's 1533-position model. Lineage: Bacteria; Bacillati; Bacillota; Bacilli; Caryophanales; Anoxybacillaceae. The record is from RNAcentral.
AUGACGUCAAAUCAUCAUGCCCCUUAUGACCUGGGCUACACACGUGCUACAAUGGGCGGUACAAAGGGUCGCGAACCCGCGAGGGGGAGCCAAUCCCAAAAAAGCCGGCUCUCAGUUCGGAUUGCAGGCUGCAACUCGCCUGCAUGAAGCCGGAAUCGCUAGUAAUCGCGGAUCAGCACGCCGCGGUCGAAUACGUUCCCGGGCCUU